AUUGAACGCUGGCGGCAGGCCUAACACAUGCAAGUCGAGCGGAUGAAGGGAGCUUGCUCCUGGAUUCAGCGGCGGACGGGUGAGUAAUGCCUAGGAAUCUGCCUGGUAGUGGGGGAUAACGUCCGGAAACGGGCGCUAAUACCGCAUACGUCCUGAGGGAGAAAGUGGGGGAUCUUCGGACCUCACGCUAUCAGCUGAGCCUAGGUCGGAUUAGCUAGUUGGUGGGGUAAAGGCCUACCAAGGCGACGAUCCGUAACUGGUCUGAGAGGAUGAUCAGUCACACUGGAACUGAGACACGGUCCAGACUCCUACGGGAGGCAGCAGUGGGGAAUAUUGGACAAUGGGCGAAAGCCUGAUCCAGCCAUGCCGCGUGUGUGAAGAAGGUCUUCGGAUUGUAAAGCACUUUAAGUUGGGAGGAAGGGCAGUAAGUUAAUACCUUGAUGUUUUGACGUUACCAACAGAAUAAGCACCGGCUAACUUCGUG
This 484-nucleotide ribosomal RNA is filed under the name uncultured bacterium. RNAcentral's name for it is "partial 16S ribosomal RNA". It matches the Rfam family "Bacterial small subunit ribosomal RNA", at positions 30 to 507 of the family's 1533-position model. The record is from RNAcentral.